Molecule: ribosomal RNA, 253 nt
Filed under: uncultured bacterium
Lineage: Bacteria
Description: partial 16S ribosomal RNA
Rfam family: Bacterial small subunit ribosomal RNA
Source: RNAcentral
UACGUAGGGUGCAAGCGUUAAUCGGAAUUACUGGGCGUAAAACGUGCGCAGGCGGUGAUGUAAGACAGAUGUGAAAUCCCCGGGCUCAACCCGGGAACUGCGUCCGAGACUGGCAGGCUCGAAUCCGGGAGAGGGAUGUGGAAUUCCAGGUGUAGCGGUGAAAUGCGUAGAUAUCUGGAGGAAUACCGGUGGCGAAGGCGGCAUCCUGGACCAUUACUGACGCUGAGGCGCGAAAGCUAGGGGAGCAAACGGG